Molecule: ribosomal RNA, 117 nt
Organism: Dipodomys ordii (Ord's kangaroo rat)
Lineage: Eukaryota; Metazoa; Chordata; Mammalia; Rodentia; Heteromyidae
Source: Ensembl
UCAGACAUCUAUGACCACUGAACUCCCCUGACUCAUCUGAACAUGGAAGCAAAGCAGAGUCUGGCCAAAUUAGUAACUGCAUGGGAGACAACCUGGGAAUAUCAGGUGCUGUAGGCA